GACGAACGCUGGCGGCGCGCUUAGCACAUGCAAGUCGAGCGAUGAAAUUUCGACAGAUCCCUUCGGGGUGAAGAUGAAAUGGAUUAGCGGCGGACGGGUGAGUAACACGUGAGUAACCUGCCUUUGACAUUGGGAUAGCCUCGGGAAACUGGGAUUAAUACCAAAUGACACUAACUGAUCACAUGAUCAAUUAGUCAAAGAAAUUCGGUCAAAGAUGGACUCGCGGCUGAUUAGCUAGUUGGUGAGGUAACGGCCCACCAAGGCGACGAUCAGUAGCCGGCCUGAGAGGGUGAUCGGCCACAUUGGAACUGAGACACGGUCCAAACUCCUACGGGAGGCAGCAGUGGGGAAUAUUGCACAAUGGGGGAAACCCUGAUGCAGCGACGCCGCGUGAGCGAAGAAGGCCUUCGGGUCGUAAAGCUCUUUUAUGAGGGAAGAUAAUGACGGUACCUCAAGAAAAAGCCCCGGCUAACUACGUG
Molecule: ribosomal RNA, 479 nt
Filed under: uncultured bacterium
Lineage: Bacteria
Description: partial 16S ribosomal RNA
Rfam family: Bacterial small subunit ribosomal RNA
Source: RNAcentral